GAUAAACGCUGGCGGCGUGCCUAAUACAUGCAAGUCGAGCGAACGGACGAGAAGCUUGCUUCUCUGAUGUUAGCGGCGGACGGGUGAGUAACACGUGGAUAACCUACCUAUAAGACUGGGAUAACUUCGGGAAACCGGAGCUAAUACCGGAUAAUAUUUUGAACCGCAUGGUUCAAAAGUGAAAGACGGUCUUGCUGUCACUUAUAGAUGGAUCCGCGCUGCAUUAGCUAGUUGGUAAGGUAACGGCUUACCAAGGCAACGAUGCAUAGCCGACCUGAGAGGGUGAUCGGCCACACUGGAACUGAGACACGGUCCAGACUCCUACGGGAGGCAGCAGUAGGGAAUCUUCCGCAAUGGGCGAAAGCCUGACGGAGCAACGCCGCGUGAGUGAUGAAGGUCUUCGGAUCGUAAAACUCUGUUAUUAGGGAAGAACAUAUGUGUAAGUAACUGUGCACAUCUUGACGGUACCUAAUCAGAAAGCCACGGCUAACUACGUGCCAGCAGCCGCGGUAAUACGUAGGUGGCAAGCGUUAUCCGGAAUUAUUGGGCGUAAAGCGCGCGUAGGCGGUUUUUUAAGUCUGAUGUGAAAGCCCACGGCUCAACCGUGGAGGGUCAUUGGAAACUGGAAAACUUGAGUGCAGAAGAGGAAAGUGGAACUCCAUGUGUAGCGGUGAAAUGCGCAGAGAUAUGGAGGAACACCAGUGGCGAAGGCGACUUUCUGGUCUGUAACUGACGCUGAUGUGCGAAAGCGUGGGGAUCAAACAGGAUUAGAUACCCUGGUAGUCCACGCCGUAAACGAUGAGUGCUAAGUGUUAGGGGGUUUCCGCCCCUUAGUGCUGCAGCUAACGCAUUAAGCACUCCGCCUGGGGAGUACGACCGCAAGGUUGAAACUCAAAGGAAUUGACGGGGACCCGCACAAGCGGUGGAGCAUGUGGUUUAAUUCGAAGCAACGCGAAGAACCUUACCAAAUCUUGACAUCCUUUGACAACUCUAGAGAUAGAGCCUUCCCCUUCGGGGGACAAAGUGACAGGUGGUGCAUGGUUGUCGUCAGCUCGUGUCGUGAGAUGUUGGGUUAAGUCCCGCAACGAGCGCAACCCUUAAGCUUAGUUGCCAUCAUUAAGUUGGGCACUCUAAGUUGACUGCCGGUGACAAACCGGAGGAAGGUGGGGAUGACGUCAAAUCAUCAUGCCCCUUAUGAUUUGGGCUACACACGUGCUACAAUGGACAAUACAAAGGGCAGCGAAACCGCGAGGUCAAGCAAAUCCCAUAAAGUUGUUCUCAGUUCGGAUUGUAGUCUGCAACUCGACUACAUGAAGCUGGAAUCGCUAGUAAUCGUAGAUCAGCAUGCUACGGUGAAUACGUUCCCGGGUCU
This 1372-nucleotide ribosomal RNA is filed under the name uncultured bacterium. Its description in RNAcentral is "bacterial SSU rRNA". It matches the Rfam family "Bacterial small subunit ribosomal RNA", at positions 28 to 1381 of the family's 1533-position model. The record is from RNAcentral.